AAAUUGAAGAGUUUGAUCAUGGCUCAGAUUGAACGCUGGCGGCAGGCCUAACACAUGCAAGUCGAACGGUAACAGGAAGAAGCUUGCUUCUUUGCUGACGAGUGGCGGACGGGUGAGUAAUAUCUGGGAAACUGCCUGAUGGAGGGGGAUAACUACUGGAAACGGUAGCUAAUACCGCAUAACGUCGCAAGACCAAAGAGGGGGACCUUCGGGCCUCUUGCCAUCGGAUGUGCCCAGAUGGGAUUAGCUAGUAGGUGGGGUAACGGCUCACCUAGGCGACGAUCCCUAGCUGGUCUGA
RNAcentral lists this ribosomal RNA (298 nucleotides) under Escherichia coli. RNAcentral describes it as "partial 16S ribosomal RNA". It matches the Rfam family "Bacterial small subunit ribosomal RNA", at positions 1 to 295 of the family's 1533-position model. The record is from RNAcentral. Lineage: Bacteria; Pseudomonadati; Pseudomonadota; Gammaproteobacteria; Enterobacterales; Enterobacteriaceae.